GUGGGGAAUAUUGCGCAAUGGGGGAAACCCUGACGCAGCAACGCCGCGUGAUUGAAGAAGGCCUUCGGGUUGUAAAGAUCUUUAAUUGGGGACGAAAUAAAUGACGGUACCCAAAGAAUAAGCUCCGGCUAACUACGUGCCAGCAGCCGCGGUAAUACGGAGGGUGCAAGCGUUAUCCGGAUUCACUGGGUUUAAAGGGUGCGUAGGCGGGUUGAUAAGUCAGUGGUGAAAGCUCCGGGCUUAACUUGGAAACUGCCAUUGAUACUGUCAGUCUUGAAUGUCGUAGAGGUAAGCGGAAUGUUGCAUGUAGCGGUGAAAUGCUUAGAUAUGUUACAGAACACCAAUUGCGAAGGCAGCUUACUAUGCGAUAAUUGACGCUGAGGCACGAAAGCGUGGGGAGCAAACAGGAUUAGAUACCCCAGUAGUCC
This 428-nucleotide ribosomal RNA is filed under the name uncultured bacterium. RNAcentral describes it as "partial 16S ribosomal RNA". It matches the Rfam family "Bacterial small subunit ribosomal RNA", at positions 354 to 796 of the family's 1533-position model. The record is from RNAcentral.